Octopus sinensis (East Asian common octopus) is the source of this 1314-nucleotide long non-coding RNA. RefSeq lists it as uncharacterized. NCBI's taxonomy places the organism in Eukaryota, Metazoa, Mollusca, Cephalopoda, Octopoda, Octopodidae. The transcript is spliced from 2 exons. The record is from RefSeq and is a predicted model, not a curated record.
UGUCUAUAUAUAUAUAUAUGUGUGUGUGUGUGUAUAUAUAUAUACAUAUAUAUAUAUAUAUAUAUAUAUAUAUGUGUGUGUGUGUGUGUGUAUAUAUGUGUGUGUGUAUAUAUGUAUAUAAUGUCCUCUGUUGAAACUAUUUGCAUUCAUUAAUAGAUUAUAGCCCUCCAUCUCACACGACUUUCCCUUCCUCUGACUUCUGUACUAAGACAUAGAAUAACCUUUCCAUCCUGAACCUCACAGUAACACACAGACCGACCUUUCCACUUCUUAAUUCUUCUCUAGACUAGGCUACUUCUAACAUAGGUGUGCGAUGUACAGUAUAUACUCUGUGAUGUUCCCUUUAUGUCUAGACAAGCAUUACUUUGUAAUUAAUCUCACCACCAAGAACAAAUUUUAAAAACUGUUAGACAGGGGCGAACAAAUGUGAAUAGCUUGUGGUGGAACUCUGCCACCUUUGGCCAAUUAGCAAGUUAUACUCAUCCUACAUUGUCAAGUGAUUACAGCACAUUCACACGCAUGCAUACAUAUUGUAAGGUAACAUUCACACGCACACACACAUUGUAAGGUGACAAGAUGACUAUAUCACAUUCAUUCAUUGAAAGUAUCCAGUUUUUUUUUCUCGUCCUUUUACCUGGCUAUUAUGUCAUCAUGGAAUCUUUUUAUAAUCCAUCUGUUUGAAAUUACACUUUCCAUAUCUUCAUAUCAUUUCUUUCAAGAUGACAUUGGACAUUUUCUUAUUGCAAUAUAUUCUAUGGACGCUCUUCUUUAUUAAACGAUAAUAAUAAUAAUAAUUAUAAUAAUAAUAAUAAUAAUAAUAAUGAUAAUAAUAAUAAUAAUAAUAAUUGUUCAUGCUUCCUCUCCAACAUAACUUUUUUUUUUAUGGCAGAUCCUUAGAGAUAUUUAAGGAUGAAAAUAAAACUGUUUUUAUAAGCUCAAGAAAAAAAAAAUUAUCCAUCGAAAAAAAAAGACAUUUCUUUUCCAGAAAGUUCUAACCUUGGACGAUGAGGACGUUGGCUGAUUUUUCCAACUAGUCAUUGAUAAAUUUCAUCUAACUGCAGAUAUAUAUGUAUAUGUGUAUAUAUAUGGCCUCAUGGGAUUUCACUGAAAUGUAAAGAAAUGCUCCAUCUGGUUUCUUUUUCUUUUGUUUUUUUUUUUGUAAUCAUUUCAAUCAAAUUUUUAAAUUAUUUUAUCAAUUUAUUAAUCUCUCUCUCUCCCUCUCUCCUUCUCUCUCUCUCCUUUCAUAUUUUAAUGCCUCAGAAACUCAAGCCAUUUUACUCAUUGCAAUGUUGAAUAAAGUUUCAUUUAACAUUU